AACCAACCAACGCCUCCAAGGCCCACAGUUUUCACGUUUCUACCUCAUUAUUGCAUUGCUCCACAUCGUCAAGGCGAAAUAUGCGUGCGUAAUAAUAACAUGUGAUUUGUGCAGAAUAACCCUGAUCGCACUGUAAAUGCCUUAGAUGAGCCAUCUGUAAGAACCAUAAAGGAGAGGAAGGUAAGGAAAAAGAGAAAAAGAAGCAAGAAAGCGAGCGCGAGAGACGCCAGAACUGCAGCGUGCCCUGUAAUUUUCAACUCAGGGUCUAAGCUAACAGCAUUAGGGUACCAAAAGCCGCAGCCAG
This 304-nucleotide long non-coding RNA is filed under the name Volvox carteri. Its description in RNAcentral is "long non-coding RNA (VCAR_LNC001464)". The record is from RNAcentral. Lineage: Eukaryota; Viridiplantae; Chlorophyta; Chlorophyceae; Chlamydomonadales; Volvocaceae.